This 15013-nucleotide long non-coding RNA is filed under the name Sorghum bicolor (sorghum). RNAcentral describes it as "long non-coding RNA (SBIC_LNC017243)". Lineage: Eukaryota; Viridiplantae; Streptophyta; Magnoliopsida; Poales; Poaceae. The record is from RNAcentral.
AUUACACAUAUUUCAUCCAUUUCAGCAAUCAAAUUCUUUACAAACUUCAGAUACAACUUAUCUACAAAGCAUCUACUCAAGUUGCUGCAGCCUACAAGAUUUAUAAUAAUACAUGAGCAGCAACAUAGAAGACGUUUAACAGUAAACUCUAACUACAUUGAGUAUAAGGUGUUCUUGAGAUCCUGCAAAACCAUUAUAAACCAAAGUACAAAUUUAGAAGUGCGAAUAGAGAAUACUGUAAUAAAUAAUAAGGUUUGCAGCUGACAAUGUUCAGAGCCUGAUAAUUAUUAGGUGUGAGUUGCACUGAUCUGAGCCUUCGAAUCCUGCUUAUUUCUGGCGAAUAGCUAAUCAAUAUUUUGGAAUGUCAUUGUGAACUCUUAUGUAUACGUACAAGGCCAUGCAUAGCUAAUCUAUAUUUUGGAAUGAUUAUAAACAACGACAAUGACACCAGGAAAGCUUAUAGGAGUAUGUAGGGCUGAAUAAAACAGGACACCAUAUCCACAUGACAACACCAGCAAGGCUCACAAGGUAUAUUCAACCAUAUGUCUACCAUAAAGAUGAUUAAGUUUACGGCUGUGACACCAGCUAAGCACUCUGCAUGCAGCUCUGACUACACAAAUUUAGAAAUUGUCUUUCAAACUGUAUUUAACACAAAGGGGCCGCAAUUGGACAGAAUAAGUAUUUUGACCCAUUGCUCAUAAGCCAUAUAUUGCCCAUACCUAUGAAGCAGCACUUAGAUCACAACUCUUCUCCACACUCAACUAGGCUCUCCAACCAAUCACUUCUCUGCAAAAAAUAGUGCAUCACAUUCAACUACAUCAAAAAUUGAUAUUCUACAAGCACAUAAAAUCUGAAAUUUCUUUCACACAAUCAAAUGUUUGAAUUGACGUAUUUAUAGCAGAAAUGUCUAUCAGAAAAUUAUCUAACUGACAGCAAAAAGGCAGAAACUCUGCAUGUUCAGUAAUCAAAACAGAAACAAUUUAUUCAUCUAUGCUUUUGUCAUUUCUUAACCAGCUACUCUACCUCACUAUGGCAAAAUUAUGUCAAAUCAGCACAACAUGACAAAUACUUUCUAAUAUCGUGAUAUGCUCUCAAUCCAUGCAGUGAAAGAUGCGGAACACAUGGAAUAGCAUAGUCUGAUUAAGAAAAAGAUAAGGACAACACACGAUUCAUAUUCACUGCACUGUGAUAAUAAAGAUAUCAUAUAUUAGAAGUUAGUUAUAGUGCAUCCAUGAAAACAUGAUAAGUGCAUAGAAAGGGGAUGAUAUCAACCAUUGAAACAAGUGACAAUAUCCAUUCUGUAAAAAAAAGUUACUAAUGACCUAUUCCAAGAAGCAAGGAAAUUUAAUGACAGACAUUCUAAGUCACAUUUCAAUUAAUAGUAUAAUUUCAAUUUUCAAGCUAAGAGCCGCUGCAGGCUGUAGUUGUGAGUUAUAAUGUAAAUUCCUAUGUACACAAUGGUACAAGUAUGAAAUCCAGCGUUAAUUAGGCACUUGCCAUCUGCAAAACAAAAUUUUGCAACCAUAUUGUACAAGAACCUACACAUGCUCAUUAGUUAGGCACUUGGAUUCUAACAUAGCAGAAAAAGCUUUGCCAUUUGAUCUAUACAUGAACAAACAUCUGACUAAACUCGCCUCAUCAAACCCUUCAAGCAAGGGGGCAUGGGCAAAAGCAGAUUAUCAUCCUAGGACAACAGAUCCAGAGCGCGCAGGGAGGGAGAGGAGACUCACACAUACAACAGUGCUAGUAGACACCUUGAUUUGCUCCCAUCAUAACAGAAACUGCGAUUGAGUAGCAAACUGCAGAACCAUAUUCUUUUUUUUUGUGGCUAGGAGUGAUCUGAAAAUUACCAAGCUCAUGUAUUUAGAAUACACAUAACACGACCAUGAUCAAGAUACCUAAUCAGACUGUUGACACCGUUUUUGGGCACGUGUCUAGGAUGGCAGGAUAAGGUGGCAGUACGAUGUUUACAAAGUGGGUUGCCGAUGAGGAUGGUUGCCGAUGAGGGAGAAGUUGAACGUGACUAAGUCCACAGGCAGUAAUAUGGUGCCGAUGGCUAGAUAAGAAAGUCUGCCGAUGACUAUGGCAAAGGGUCUGCCGAUGAUGCAAAGAGGGAGUCCGGAAGCUGCCGGUCGUUACGUGGAGGAGUUUCGGUUUGUCACGAGGGAUAGUUUUGUUAUUUCCUUAAUUAUCUGCAUCGUUUUGUAUACGGAUUCCGUGUAAUUUGGAAUUCGAAUUCUAAUCAUGUCUGGUUGUAGCUCUUUGAGCAGGGUAUAAAUAUAGACCCUAGGGCCUUGUAAUAAAAAAUCAAUCAAUGAAUCAAACACACGUUUUUACUCAUAUUCCAGCAUUUACUUUUCGACGACUUCGUCAUACUUUUUCCUUUUGUUACGAGUUCUUAGGAAUUCGUCGACUUAAGCUCGGCGUGUUCUCAAGUUCCGCGUGAGUACCUCUUAGCCGUGACAUCCGGGCGCAUCGCUGUUGUCAGGACUAAAGUAUUCGAGUUAUCACCUUUGCCGAUAGCAAGGUCAAAUCGGCUGGCACGCCUUAACGUUUGAAUCGGGUAUUAGCCCUUUGUGUUUGCAGAUCAGUUUUGCAUCAACACAUCUUUUGGCACGCCCAGUGGGACAGGAUUCAAGAUCAAGAUCAACAUGUCGAUCUCUGACCUCGAUCAAGAGAACGUCAUCCCCGUGACGGAGGCCAACCUCAAGGAUGAGCAGAAGCAAGCUAUUGCCCAAGCCAUGGAAGAGUUCAAGCAGCAAUGCCUGAGGUCUUUCAGCAUAAACAGGAGCGGCGAAGUGGUCCAGAAAGAUGCACUGCCGGCACCACGGCAGGUUACCUUUGACGCCAAUCCUGGCAAGCUUCAAGAUAUGGUUGACAAUGCCAUCAAUCGAGCGUUGAUUAACCAAGCUGGUGUACUGUCUAAUACGGUUUUCAAUGCCGUGGCAAGAACUUUCAAGGAAGGACAAAUCCCACCAGAUUAUGUGGGCCCCUCCCAUCAUCAGCCAACGGCACCAGAGGUCACGGCUCCAUCGGCUGCCUUGACGACUGCAAGUGCACAAUCUGCCGUCCCUCCAAGUACAUCGGGGACUACUGGUGCACUAUCUAUGCCGAUGACAACCAACCCACAAAUUUCAGUUGGGCAGCAUAAACUGACAACAGAUAUGUUGGCAUCGGCAAUGUCAGGGUUGACUCUUCCUCCCAACUGGUGGGGUUACGGUAUGCCUCCAGAGUUGACACCGGGAACAUCACAAAUAACUGACAUGAGGGGCAAAACUCCUAUGACAUCGGCACCUCCCAAUGCGCCGGUGAACCAGAGUCCUCGGUAUACCACAACUACUACUGCAAGGCCUCACACUGGAAAUCCUCAAGAUUCAUUGUUCCAGAUGCCCAACGCAUCGGCAGAGUCAAUGCUGAUGCAACAGAGGUCUAGGGCCCAGUCGGGGUAUGUCAAUUCAACGACGGUACCCAAUUACCAAUCAUCGGCAGCACCUAUGCCGAUGAACGCUAAUAAUGGAUGGCUUGGACAGCAAGCCUUUCCACAAUCGCCCCAGCAGAGUUACCAGACUACAGGGUUCCAGCAAGGGCAGGUCUAUCCCGGGUUCCAAGGUCAGGGGAUUCCCAACCAGCCAAUGAAUUUUGGACAGCAACUCGGAGGACAGCCAAUCGGUGGACAGCAGUUUGGUGGUCCGCAGAUUGGAGGACAGGUGAUCAAUACAAUGUUCCGUGCAGAUCACGUCCCGAACAGACACGUGGAGGUUCGCCACCAAGUGCCAGAUCCGCAGCCGCCUCAUCGGCAAGAUGCCGAUGCAUAUUGGGCCGAUAAGAUUGCUGAAGUAAUGAGGGAACAAUUUGGGAUAAAACCCAAAGUCAACACUUACUCUUAUCGGACACCGUAUCCUCCCGCGUAUGAUUUGAUCCCGCUUCCACAUCGGUACAAGGUACCGGAUUUUACAAAGUUUUCCGGGCAGGACGACACGUCAACCAUGGAGCAUGUCAACAGGUUCAUCAUUCAAUGUGGAGAGGCCGGUAACAGGGACGAAUUGAGGGUUCAUCUAUUUUCAUUACCUCCCAACUCAGUAAUUACUUGGGCCGAUCUAGAGAAGCAAUUCCACAAAUACUUCUUCUCGGGGGUUCAUGAGAAGAAGAUCACCGACUUGGUCAAGUUGAGGCAACGUAAUGAUGAGUCGGUUGAGGGUUUUGUGCAGAGGAUACGAGAGGUCAAGAAUAAAUGCUAUAGCUUGGUUCUGGAUGAUCAGCAGCUAGCCGAUUUGGCUUUCCAGGGUUUGUUGCCACAUAUCAGGGAUAAGUAUGCCUCUCAGGAGUUUGAAAGUUUAAGUCAUUUGGUGCAGAGGAUUUCUGAUCAAGACAUCAAGCCUUUCGAGCCUAAAAGAGCAUGGAAUAGGAAAGUGUCAUUUGUCGAUGAAGCAACAAGCUCAGAUUCUGAUGAAGAACCAGUAAUCGGCUUGGCAGAGUGGGUAAAAAACAAGAAGCCGAUGUCUUGUCCUUUUGGGCAGAAGGAACCAGAGAAGUUUGCUUUUGACACCGCUAAGGAUGAUAGGAUAUUUGACUUUCUGCUUCAGGAAGGUCAGAUCAAACUGUCACCUAACCAUGUGAUCCCAUCGGCAGAAGAGUUGAAGAGGAUGAGAUAUUGCAAGUGGCAUAAUGCAACUUCCCAUGACACCAACGAGUGCAAAGUAUUCAGACAGCAGCUGCAAUCGGCUAUAGAGUCAGGGAGAAUCAAGUUUGACAGUUCCAAAGCCCAGAAGCCGAUGAAGAUAGACCAACAUCCUUUCCCGACAAACAUGUUGGAUGCUAAGGGGAAGGCUAAGGUCUUAACAUCGGAGACAGCUGAGAAGAGUGCAUCGGUAGAUCCUCAGCAUCAAGUUACUACUGCCGAUGCAAGAAGUAAGGGCUUGGUCCAGGAAGGAACUAGCUCAGGAAGGCCUCCUCGAUCUGGUGUCGUCAUAACUCAUAGAAGGCCUCGAGGAAAUUGGCAACAACGGGAAGAUCGGUAUCGGCGCCAGCAGGAAGAUUAUCGACGGGAAGAAGAAAGACGCCGACAGGAGUGGAAUCGGCACAGGGAUCAUUGGAAUUGUCCAUUCUUCAUCCAUUGUUGGGAGGAAAAUAUCAAGCUUCCUACUGUCAGAGACUGCCCUGAGUGCAACGGUUAUGAUCGGUACGAUAGGAUCGAUCGGCAUUAUCUUGAUGAUGAACGGCGAUUUAAUGGGCCGAUCAGAGGAAGGGUGUCAGUUCAUGACCGGCUGGGGGGCAGAUUUAGUGGGCACGACAGACUUAGUGACCGUGUCCAGUAUUUUCCCAGGAACCAAGAAGAGCUCGAGGAAAUGGCUGAUGCGCGGGUUCCCGAUGAAUUCAUAUUUUGCAGGGAUGCUAACACGCAUCGUAUGGAGUCAAGGGAGAACCGACGCCCGACGGCAAGGCAAAGGCCACUUCCUCCAUGGUGCCCUGGAGGAUUAACCAAGACACAGAAAAGGAGAUUGCAACGUGAAAGGCAAGAAGAGCUAAACAAGGGAGAGAACUCUGGAAGUCGGCAGCCGUCAGACACUAAGAGGGAAGGUCCAUCGGCAGGCGUCAACAUGGUCUUCAUGUUGCCGAUGGAGUUUCUUGCACCAGCCAGUGAUGAUGAGUUGGAAUUUUCUGAUCAGAUAGCUCAGUUGGCUCUGGAUCCGAUGACGGCUAUCUUUGAGAAACCUGCCGAUGACGAGAGGCAGCAUCUUAAAGCUCUGUUCCUCAAAGGAAGGGUUGAUGGGCAGCCAAUGACCAAGAUCCUAGUUGACGGUGGAGCUGCUAUUAAUAUUAUGCCGUAUGCAGUAUAUCGGAAGCUUGGGAAAGGGGAUCAAGAUUUGACCAAGACCGAUAUGAUGCUCAAAGACUUUGAAGGAAACGUGUCUCCAGUCAAGGGGGCGAUAUGUGCAGAGUUGACCAUCGACAGCAAAACCUUGCCGACAACUUUUUUCGUGAUCAGCGGAAAAGGUGCUUACAACUUAUUAUUGGGAAGAGAUUGGAUUCAUGCCAAUUGUUGUAUCCCAUCUACAAUGCAUCAAUGCUUGGUUCAGUGGGUAGGUGACAAGAUUGAGAUUGUCCCAGGAGAUUCUUCUUAUGUUAUCGCAUCGGCAGAAGCGGAUACUUACGAAAGGACCAGGUGCAUUUCAGGAGAAGUUUGGGAGAAAGAUUUUCUCAAAGUUGCCGAUUAUGAGAUUCCACCGAUCCAAGCAGUCGGUUCUGACGACGGUUUUUAAUGGAUAGAUUCGCCGAUGAUGGAAAAUUAGGCCAGGGAUUCACAUCGGCCGAUGAUUUGGUAGAAGUAGAUAUAGGUAGUGGUGAUAAGCCUAGGCCUACUUUUAUUAGUGCUAAAUUAGAUCCUGAGAGUAAGCAACAAUUGACUAGUUUGUUAAAGGAAUAUAAAGAUUGCUUUGCUUGGGAUUAUACCGAGAUGUCUGGUUUAGACCGAUCAAUUGUUGAACAUCGGUUACCCAUCAAGUCUGGAUUUCGGCCACAUCAGCAACCAGCCCGCCGAUGUAAUCCUAACAUUCUACCUGAUAUUAAGGCCGAAAUCACCAAACUUAUUGAAGCUAAGUUUAUUCGGCAGUGUCGGUAUGCCGAGUGGAUUUCCAAUGUUGUUCCGGUUUACAAGAAGAACGGGAAGCUUCAGGUGUGCAUUGAUUUCAGGAAUCUCAAUAAAGCUACGCCGAUGGAUGGAUACCCAAUGCCUGUCGCCGAUCUACUGGUUGAUGCUGCGGCUGGACAUCAGGUCAUCAGCUUCAUGGAUGGUAAUGCAGGUUACAAUCAAAUAUUCAUGGCGGAGGAGGAUAUUCCAAAAACCGCAUUCAGGUGUCCUGGUCAUGUUGGGCUAUUUGAAUGGAUAGUCAUGACUUUUGGGUUGAAGAAUGCUGGUGCUACUUAUCAAAGGGCUAUGAAUUUUAUAUUUCAUGAGUUCAUCGGCAAGCUCGUGGAGAUUUAUAUUGAUGAUGUGGUGGUUAAGUCUGGAGAUUUCUCAAAGCAUCUUGUCGAUUUACAAAAAGUGUUAGAGUGCACAAGGAAGCAUGGAUUGAAGAUGAAUCCCAACAAGUGUGCAUUUGGUGUAUCGGCAGGGCAGUUUCUUGGUUUCAUGGUACAUCAGAGGGGUAUUGAAAUUAGUCGAAGAUCUAUUGAUGCCAUCAAUAAAAUAGUGGCCCCUACCAACAAAACCGAGCUCCAAUCCUUGAUCGGCAAGGUAAAUUUUAUCAGGAGAUUUAUAUCGAAUUUGUCUGGUAGGAUUCGUGCUUUCAGUCCUCUUCUUAAAUUGAAAGCCGAUCAAGAGUUUAUUUGGGGAGAAGAACAGCAGUUGGCUCUGGAUGAAAUCAAGAAGUAUCUAGUAAAUCCUCCAGUUCUAGUUCCACCUCAACAAGGGAAGCCCUUCAGAUUGUAUUUAUCUAUCGAUGGAUCGGUUAUCGGUUCAGCUUUAGUUCAAGAAUUUGAAGGGAAAGAAAGGGUAAUUUAUUAUUUGAGUAGGAGGUUGAUUGAUGCUGAAACCAGGUAUUCGGCCAUUGAGAAACUAUGCUUAUGCUUAUAUUUUUCAUGUAUCAAGCUGAGACAUUACCUGUUAUCGGCCGAAUGCACUGUUGUUUGCAAAGAUGACGUGGUCCGAUACAUGCUAUCUAUGCCGAUUAUGAGUGGUAGGAUCGGUAAAUGGAUUUUAGCGCUGUCGGAGUUCGAUUUGCGUUACGAAUCGGCUAAGGCAGUCAAAGGGCAGAUUAUGGCCGAUUUUGUGACUCAGCAUUGCGGUCUAGUGGAAACCUUGGAAAUUGUACCUUGGACGCUCUUCUUUGAUGGAUCUACCUGUGACCGGGGGGCAGGAAUCGGCAUUGUAUUAGUUUCCCCUAAGGGGAGGAAGUAUGAGUUUUCCUUGCCGAUUGUUGCCACAUCAACAAAUAAUCAGGCUGAGUAUCAGGCUCUGAUCAAGGGAUUGGAGUUGUUAAGAGAAGUUCGUGCUGAUGCUGUUGAAAUAUUCGGGGAUUCUAUGUUGGUUAUAAAUCAAUUGGCCGGAAGCUAUGAAUGCCGAAGUGAAGUUCUCAUAACUUAUUUCGAGAGAAGUAUGCAACUGUUAAAGGAAUUCAAGGAUUUUCGAUUGGAGCAUGUUCCCCGAUUGCAUAAUGAAAACGCUAAUCGGUUAGCUCAGCAUGCCUCGGGAUAUCAGCCAAUGAUUAAUGCGACAUCGGCAGUCGGUGCCGGUGAUUGGAGGAAAGAAAUUAUUGAUUAUCUAAAAGAUCCAUCCAAAAAAGUUGAAAGACGGGUUCGAUUUCAAGCAACCAAGUAUGUGCUCCUUGAAAAUGAAUUGUAUUAUCGAACUAUCGACGGAAUUCUUCUCCGAUGCUUGGGUGAUGAUGAAGCUAGAAGUUUGAUGGGGGAAAUCCAUGAAGGAGUGUGUGGAGCGCAUCAGUCAGCUUUUAAGAUGAAGUGGAUGAUUCGAAGGAAUGGAUAUUUUUGGCCAACCAUACUUGAAGAUUGUUUUAAAUAUUUCAAGGGAUGUCAAGGUUGUCAAAAGUUUGGUAAUAUCCAGAGAGCACCCGCAUCGGCUAUGAAUCCUAUAAUAAAGCCUUGGCCGUUCCGGGGAUGGGCCAUCGAUCUGAUCGGCCAGAUUUAUCCACCAUCUAGCAAAGGGCAUAAGUUCAUUCUAGUUGCCACUGACUAUUUCACUAAGUGGGUUGAAGCUAUUCCUUUGAAGAAAGUCACAUCGGCCAAUAUGAUUGAUUUUGUGAAGGAGCAUAUUAUUUACCGAUUUGGGAUUCCCCAAACGAUUACUACCGAUCAGGGCACCAUGUUCACAUCGGGGGAGUUCGAUGAAUUCGCAAUCGGUAUGGGAAUUAAAGUGUUGAAUUCUUCUCCUUAUUAUGCCCAAGCCAAUGGGCAGGCCGAAGCGUCUAACAAAGGAAUUAUCAAGCUUAUUAAACGAAAGAUUGAAGAAAAUCCUAAGCGGUGGCAUACAUUAUUAAAUGAAGCAUUGUGGUCUUAUCGGAUGGCUUGUCAUGGAUCGACCAAAGUAUCACCCUAUCAAUUGGUGUAUGGACAUGAUGCAGUGUUGCCUUGGGAAAUUAAGGCUGGAUCUAGGCGAUUAUCUUUUCAAGAUCAAUUAACUUCCGAUGGUUAUGCCACUUUGAUGACCGAUGAAUUGGACGAUCUAGCAGGGCAUCGGUUAAAAGCUUUAAUGAGUAUAGAAGAAAAUAAGAAGAGAGUUGCUAGAUGGUAUGAUAAGAAAGUGAAGGCUAAAGAGUUUGCCGAUGGGGAUUUGGUAUGGAAAUUAAUUUUACCAAUUGGGACCAAAAGUUCGAAGUUUGGAAAGUGGUCUCCUAAUUGGGAGGGUCCUUAUCGGAUAAGUCGAUCGGCUCCUGGUAAUGCCUACAUUCUAGAAACCCUCGAAGGAAUUGAAUUUCCCAGAGCAUUAAACAGCAAAUAUUUAAAGAAGUACUACCCCAGUAUAUGGGUCGAUGCAUAGAAGUUUAGGUGCCGAUAACACUCCUAUCGGCUGGAUCCAAAUGCUUGGGGACAAGACUUGGUGUUUCAAAAGUUUAGGUGCCGAUAACAGUCCUAUCGGCUAGACUAAAAGCUGAGGAAGCAGGAAAGCGCAGAUAUAAUGCCGAUGGAAACUCUAUGUGUUAAGCAGCGUCUGGAUUGCCGAUAUAGCGCGUAGCCGAAUUUGGUUGGCUGCUUCUAUCUCCUUGAUGUCAUCAUCGGCAGAACCUUCUAUCGGCUUCAGCUUCUUCUUCAGUUGAAGUGCCUUGCGACCAUGAGCAUUUCGCUCGUGCUCAAGAAGCCUGAUGGUCUCUGGCAAUUGGCUCUCUUCCUGUUGGGCUUGGGACAGAGCGUUCUCUACUUCCUUGAGCUCCGCCAACAGGGAUUCUUUUCUUGCCGAUAGAUCGGAUAUCUUCUGCUUCAGCGCGUCUCCAGAAGAUCUCAGGAUACCGAUGUUCUUGUGCUUCUCAUCGGUCAAAAGCUUCUCUUUCCUCAUUUCAUCGGAGAGUUGAGUCUGAGCGGCUCUAUCGGCAAGCCGCCGAGAAGCUCUCUGGUACUGCAGCUGGCGACUCUCCAGAUGAGCGGCUUGGAACAGGAUUUCUUCAACAUCGGCUGGGAUUUGGCCUCUGAGAGUUCUGAACAGGGUCUUGGUAGGGUCAGAAUCAUCAACCGAUUGCGCUGUGUCCUGGUGAAGGAGAGCUGACAAUUCUUCCAGCCUGACCCUGAUCUCUGCCGAUGUGAUGCCGACCGUCUGAGAAGAGCUUGCUUCUUCACCUUCUUCUUCAGAGAGAUCGAUGGCGAAGGAGAACAGGCUAUCGGGAGAAUCUUGUUCCUGGGAGGGAAAGCAAAAUUAGCUCAUACUCAGAGAAUCGGCAAAUAGUGCUAACGGUAAACGGUGACUUACUUGCUUCAAGGCGAUCUCUUGUCUUUGACUGAGAAGUGCUGCCGGAGCUGCAGGCUGAUCGGCCAAAGAUGCCGAUGGAGCUACAGGUUGAUCGGCUGAGAUUGCUGAUGGAACGAUAUCAACUGAAAGAAGACAAAAGGAGUUAUGAGACUAAAUAAGAAUAAGUUCAUCGGUAGCGAUAUUGUUAAAGUAUGUUACCUGGAGGAGGGACAACGGUUGUCUGAACCGGGAGAACUGCCGAUGGUAUAACUGGACCCACCGGGCCAGUUGUUUGUUCACCCAUGUCAGCUGAUGUAUCUUCUGUUUGAGAUCCUUCCUGUUGGGGUUCUUCUAUCUGUGGUGCUUCCUGCAUAGGUGGGGGAGAUGGUGCUUGCUGUGGCUGGGCUUCUGGAGAAGAAGGAGAAGACUCCACCGGAAUUGGAGAUACCGGAGGAGGAGGGGGAGUUGCUACCUUCUGGCGCUUUGUUCCAGUCUUAGCACCCGUGGUGCCCUUUCUCUUGGGUUGGCUAGACUGGGGGGCAUCGGUACUCUCACACCUGGCUUUCGCCGAUGCGCCGGUUUGCUGCAAUAAUGAACAAGAGUUUAUAAGCAUAAAUAUAGCCGAUAUAAAGAUAGUCAGCAUAAAGGAAAAGAUUUGACAAAUUGCCUUGAAAGCCCGUGCAAGAGUGGGAGCAGCAACCGUUGGUGAUGUCUGGGUUCUUCUGGUGGUGACUUUCCUGAGGCGUACACCCCGAUGCACGAUGGAAGCUAGAGUGGGAGCAUUGUGGCCGAUUGAGGAAAUCGGGCCUGAUGGAAACAAGUCGAUCGGCCUGCCACUCCUGCUAACCAAUGGAGGAAUAUUGUCAACCUGCAAAAGGAAUACAAGGGUAAGCUGCCGAUGGAGGUAAUAUUGAGAAAAUGAAACAUUGGUUUGAGUUACUUACAGUAUCAUCGGGAACUUCGUAUUCGGAGUCAAUCAUGCCGCGGUAUGAAAGUGCCGAUCUGCAGAAUAGAUGCUCUUUCCAUUCUGCCCACCAUAACUUGUAUGCCUGAGUGAUAAAAGCAGCCGGAACCCAUUCUGACAGAUCUACAUCUAUAUCGGCGUUUGGUGGUAGUUGGGCUGCUCGAGUCCACUCAAGAAGGUUGUUGAUAGUUUCUCUGGGUUUUAUCACAUCGGCAUAAGGAAGUGCAAUCGGCAACUGGCCGAAAGCUAACUGGCGAGCAAAUGCCGAUGGAUUGUAAAAUUCGUAAGUUUGAGGGGAGGUUUUUGUGCUACCAAAGAAAUUCACUGGAAUGAUUCUGGGAGUCACAAUUGCCAUCAUCGCCUCAUUGUCCCUGUCGAGAGCUUCAUCAAAUGGAUUGAAGGUCAGAGGGAGCAUGCUAUCUGGGUCAUCAUAAGCCAACCAUGGUCGUUCGUCUCUGGUCAAACCCUCAUACAGAGUCUGGAAGAAUCGGCCGAUCUGAUCUGGAUUACCCCCUGAACCAGGCAGAACUAUGACAGCUUCGCCAAAGUUCAAGGGGGCGCGUGUUGCCGAUUCCUCUUCACCCAAUACAUGGUUUUCAGCUAUAUCUCUUGGGAAACGUUGUGUGAACAGGUUGAAGUUGAGACGCUUGUGCAGAUGCAGAUUGAGCCACAUGUUGACAAACCACCAGGGGCCUCCCAAGUUGCCAGUGGAUUGGCCGAGCAGAAGUUUCUGGGCUACUUGAUGGAGAAGGUGAUAAGCAGCGCCAAGCAAGUAUCGGCCGAGAGGGAAUUCUCCACCGUUAGCCAGUCUUUCUGCUGCCGAUAGGUAGACAGAAGUCGGUCCUGCCGAUCGACCACAGAAUACAAACUUGUCCAGCCACAUGUUCAGAAAGGUGGUUUGUUCCUUUAUGGUGACAGAUCCUUUCCCACGGUACUUCUGAAUGUACCCCGACCAACCGCCGAUAGCGCGAGUCUCCACUUUGGCACUAGGGGCAGUAUCAAAAAAGUGGGUGCUAUCGGCAGAAGAUAUAUCUAGACCAGUAAGCAUGGCUACAUCGGCAAGAGUAUGAGAAGCAGGGCCGUGGCCAAAGGCAAAAGCAUUGAGGGUGUCUGACCAAAAGUAGGAUGCAGCUAUCAGCAGUGACUCGUUCCUAUGCAUAUCGGCAAUGGACAAUCUAAUGCAUUGGGCUAGAUUCCUUUCACCCCACUGAACUUUAUUAGAGUUGCUGACCCUUAAGAACCAGUCUUUCCACCCUACAGUUGGGCUGGGCCAAGAGCGGAAGGUGUCCUUCCACAGAUCUAAGGAAAAAUUUUUGGCUCUGAAGGGGAUCCUGUUGGUUUCUGCGUUGAUAAGGUCAGUUGGAUCUGGGUCCCCUAGAGGGCCGAGGCAUUGAAGGUGUGGUUGAUCGGUGGGGAUGACAAUUUUGUUGGACAAUUCCUAGUGAUUUUGGGCGUAAAAAGAAAUACAAAGAGGAAAGAAAAGGAAGAUGUUCAGUAAAAUGAAUUGCGAGUGAACAGGGAUAUGAAGAAAAAUACAGAAGACGGGGUGGAGAUUUGACCUCAGGGACGACGAACCCGACGACCAUCUUGCUGCGAAGGAAGCGUUUGAAGGCGCCGGAGUUGGUGAAGAGGGGUACUUGUCGGAGACCUUGGGAGUUUUUGGUGGCGCCGCCGCUGGAAAAGUAAAGUUGGGUAGUAGAAUGGUGUGAUGGGGAAGGAGUACCCAAGAAGGAACUAUUUAUAGGACAAAAUGGGCAAGGGCAAAUCCGACUUAUCUCUUUGCCGUAUCCGAGAAAUCCGAGGGUACUCAGGUGGAUAUGGUAACUGUUCGCACGGUAAUCCAGGGAUUGUGCAGGUGAUUUGACGGGAAGCGGUCAUUAUCUGAAGAUAUUUUACUGUGCGAGAUCUCCUGGUCGGUCCAUCGGCAAUAUUCUAUAACGGUCAUAUUGCCGAUGGGCGGAUAGAGGGGAAGUAACCGUUUGUGCGAAUAUCCUGGUCAGAACAUCGGCAGAUCUUUGUAACGGUAUUGUUGCCGAUGUACGGCUGAGAAAAAUGCCCGUUUAGGAAGUUGGGGAUUUCGAGAAAUCUGCGGAGGAAUAGGAUCAGAGUUGUUCAGAUUGAGGUUGUCGGUUACCAGAUUAGGAGCAUUAAUUGCGGGAAAAGGCAUCAUUACUGCAGAGAAUUUCGGAGCAUUAAUAGUUUUAUACUCUGAAACUGGGGGGCAUGUGUUGACACCGUUUUUGGGCACGUGUCUACGAUGGCAGGAUAAGGUGGCAGUACGAUGUUUACAAAGUGGGUUGCUGAUGAGGAUGGUUGCCGAUGAGGGAGAAGUUGAACGUGACUAAGUCCACAGGCAGUAAUAUGGUGCCGAUGGCUAGAUAAGAAAGUCUGCCGAUGACUAUGGCAAAGGGUCUGCCGAUGAUGCAAAGAGGGAGUCCGGAAGCUGCCGGUCGUUAUGUGGAGGAGUUUCGGUUUGUCACGAGGGAUAGUUUUGUUAUUUCCUUAAUUAUUUGCAUCGUUUUGUAUACGGAUUCCGUGUAAUUUGGAAUUCGAAUUCUAAUCGUGUCUGGUUGUAGCUCUUUGAGCAGGGUAUAAAUAUAGACCCUAGGGCCUUGUAAUAAAAAAUCAAUCAAUGAAUCAAACACACAUUUUUACUCAUAUUCCAGCAUUUACUUUUUGACGACUUCGUCAUACUUUUUCCUUUUGUUACGAGUUCUUAGGAAUUCGUCGACUUAAGCUCGGCGUGUUCUCAAGUUCCGCGUGAGUACCUCUUAGCCGUGACAUCCGGGCGCAUCGCUGUUGUCAGGACUAAAGUAUUCGAGUUAUCACCUUUGCCGAUAGCAAGGUCAAAUCGGCUGGCACGCCUUAACGUUUGAAUCGGGUAUUAGCCCUUUGUGUUUGCAGAUCAGUUUUGCAUCAACACAGACUAACCCACAAUAGCAAGCCAAGCCAACUACCAGCACCCAACAAAAAAACAAAGAUCAUACCUUUUCAGAACCACACUCUGCAACAAAUGGCAUGCAUGUUGUCUUCCUCUAUUGGUCCACAUUUGCAGUUAGUUUAGCAAUCUCACAAGCAACAUCCACAUUCUGAAACACUCAAUCAUCAAAAUGUAAGGACAGACUAUUGGGUUUGCUACUAUGGUAUGCAAAAUAGGAUUUUACAUAAAUUUGACAACUUAAUUUAGAGUAUUUCAAGCCACGCAAGAUAAUACCUUAGCAAUGAAAUACACAAACCAUCUCCAAUCACAACUAUGCCUAAAUAUAUGACAUUGACUAUCAAACAAAACAAUUUCUCAUCUUUAGCACUACUGUAGGUAGCAAUAGCUCGUCUCCUACAUUACAUUAUCCUAGGUUGUACACAAAUCGGAAUGAAGGAGAGGAAGGCCUCACCUUGAUGGGGACGUGAGUAUCCUUGUAGGGGCGGUGCUGGUGGCCUAGCACAGAUCGAUGACGAACGGUGGUUCGGGUUCGGGGUCGAACACUCGAACUGCGUGAUCUCAACGAGGGUGUACGCGACGCGAGCCCGCCUGCGCCUUCGCCCUUCGCCCUUCGAGCUCCGCGCCCAGUCGCGCACCACUGUACGCGGCGCUCAGCGCUCGAGCCGAGCACCGGAGGCGGCGAAGAUGCGGACGAAGAUGACGCUGUCGAUCCCCG